GUUGCUUCUUGUGCCUGUCCUCAAUCUGGCAACCCGCGUAAACGUCGAGUCUGCGGAGGAGGAGGAGGGGGCGGGGGCGGGAAACAAUGCUCUCCAAAAUUUUGAAUUUGGAAUGCAGCACUCAUUUCAACCGUUGGUUAUCAAUAUUACCGCGGCACCUUUGAUAUUUAGCAUUUAGCGUUAUAGCCUACUUACACUUCACCAUCUGUGGUUGAAACAUAAAAAUACGUUAUUUUACGUCAGUUGUGUUUCUGCGAUAGUUUGCGGAGUUUCCAUAGUUACCAGUAAUCGCCAUAUCAGCGCGGAUCUGUCACCAGACUGUGCGAAAAUUUUCCAAUAAAUCGUAUAAAACAAACAAGACCUCAUCAGAGCAAGAAUCUGCUAGCGCUGUCUGUCCGGCUUACACACCUGCAGCGCCCCAGGGGAAGAGCGCGGCUCAGACCCCACACCCCUGACGCACUUAACUUCGAGGAAACGAGGAACAAUUAGACGUGAGGAACCUUUCAGAGAUCACAGAGUGUGGAGUUAUUACCCGGCCGUAACAAAACACUGUCGCUGCAGUUCCACCGCUCCAUCUAAACACCAACCAAACCUGUCAUCUCCAGGCAAUUAUCAACAAGUCAAAUUGGCAGGAAUUUAAUUUACAGUGCCACACUUAAAAUAAGGGAAUGAUGUUUAGUCUACAAUCCCAAUGAACGCCUUAGUGUUUUUGCACUCCGUAUCAAAUGAGCUUGAUGGUUAUACGGGAUUAAUUGUUGUUUUUGGAAUAACAGUAUCUGUAGCUACUGGUCUGUUUGUGUGUGUGCGUAUGCGCAUGCUAACUUUUUUUUUUUUUUUUGCGCACGCAUGUGUGAUCUGCAGCACCUGGGACAUCAGGCACACCAGGAACGGUCUCUUUCCCAGAGUGCCGCGCAGCAGUGCCCGCCUAGCUUUGGCACCUCAGCUGUCAGCCCGCUCUGCUGAUGAGGAGAAUGUGUGGGGCGAUGAAGUCGAUAAUGAAGGUGACUGACAACUAGCAUGUUACCAUCUGCAUUGCGUGUUUCUAAAAACACUCCAGUGACGCAAAAGGCAUCCUGCUGCAGUCAAAUCAACUGGCAUAACAGCUUUGUCAGACUUAGAGAUGUCAGCAACAGUGGUACAGAUAGUACAUCUAAAUAUUAGUGGUGCAAACUCCUUUUAAAGAAAAAAAUCAACCAAAGUGCUUUCUGAAGUGUCAUUUUUUCAGUGCUUUAUUUCGGUAUACCAGUGGUUAACGAUCUUCGGUGGAUGACUUUUAAUUGAACUUUCUUUCAAAGAAAUAUUUCAACUUAAUUUCGGUAAUGCACUCUGUGACUAAUACAAUGAUUGCAGACCAUGCUGGAACCAGACUUACUUUAAUGUCAAACCACCUCCUGUCAAGCACUUUCAAUGCAUUUUCACAUAGUAACUUGUUAUUAUAUUCAGGAGAGAAAGGAACUUGUUGCUAGGUGUUAGUCUAUUUUUUUGAAAAUGAAAAGGUGAAAAGAAAAUACAAAUUACUAACAAAGUGGCACAGUGACAACGUGUCUGUCUUUCUUUUUUCUUUCUCUUUACACUACUAGGUAUUCAUCUAUUACACAUAAAGAGGUUUCAUUCUGUUUCCUUAAAAUAACAAAAAGUUAUAAUAAAUAAAU
Long non-coding RNA from Cyprinus carpio (common carp), 1652 nucleotides. Ensembl lists it as uncharacterized. Lineage: Eukaryota; Metazoa; Chordata; Actinopteri; Cypriniformes; Cyprinidae. The record is from Ensembl.